CUCCGAUGAUGAUCCCGCCAUGCUAAUACUGAUGCACCAGACUGACGGUGUGUCUCUUUUGGAUAGUGGGCCCAUUGAGGAGA
Molecule: small nucleolar RNA, 83 nt
Organism: Oncorhynchus keta (chum salmon)
Lineage: Eukaryota; Metazoa; Chordata; Actinopteri; Salmoniformes; Salmonidae
Source: RefSeq, a predicted model, not a curated record